Molecule: small nucleolar RNA, 132 nt
Organism: Sphaeramia orbicularis (orbiculate cardinalfish)
Lineage: Eukaryota; Metazoa; Chordata; Actinopteri; Kurtiformes; Apogonidae
Product: small nucleolar RNA SNORA31
Source: Ensembl
UUGCAUCCACUGAUAGACCUGAAGCAGACAUCCUUGGCUUCUGGUUUGCACAGAGAUGCUAAAUUUAACCUUCCUUGCGCUUUCUGACUGCUUGGCUCUAUAGCAGUACAGAUUGAAAUGAGGAAUACAUGC